Molecule: ribosomal RNA, 468 nt
Filed under: uncultured bacterium
Lineage: Bacteria
Description: partial 16S ribosomal RNA
Rfam family: Bacterial small subunit ribosomal RNA
Source: RNAcentral
GACGAACGCUUGCGGCGUGCUUAACACAUGCAAGUCGAACGGAAAGACCCUGCUUUUGUGGGGUGCUCGAGUGGCGAACGGGUGAGUAACACGUGAGUAACCUGCCCUUGACUUUGGGAUAACUUCAGGAAACUGGGGCUAAUACCGGAUAGGAGCUCCUGCUGCAUGGUGGGGGUUGGAAAGUUUCGGCGGUUGGGGAUGGACUCGCGGCUUAUCAGCUUGUUGGUGGGGUAGUGGCUUACCAAGGCUUUGACGGGUAGCCGGCCUGAGAGGGUGACCGGCCACAUUGGGACUGAGAUACGGCCCAGACUCCUACGGGAGGCAGCAGUGGGGAAUAUUGCACAAUGGGCGGAAGCCUGAUGCAGCAACGCCGCGUGCGGGAUGACGGCCUUCGGGUUGUAAACCGCUUUCGCCUGUGACGAAGCGUGAGUGACGGUAAUGGGUAAAGAAGCACCGGCUAACUACGUG